UUAAAAGCUGUGAAUGUGCAAAGUAGUUUCAAAUACGUGUAAAGAGAGAGGAAGUCAUGGGCUGGAAGCUUCCUUACUUUAGGUUUGAAAUCGAAAUUUCACACAGGAGCUGCGUGGGUGAAUUUUUUGUAGCUUGCGACGUUAAUACACGUUAAGUAUUAUUGAGAGCUUAUUUUAUACGAAAUUCGAAUAGAAUAAAGAAUGACAAUUUUAUGUGUAUAAAAUAAGAAUCAGGGUGGUAUCGCGGAUUAUAGUUUCGUCCCUAUU
Molecule: non-coding RNA, 267 nt
Filed under: Lachnobacterium bovis
Lineage: Bacteria; Bacillati; Bacillota; Clostridia; Lachnospirales; Lachnospiraceae
Description: T-box sequence
Rfam family: T-box leader
About the family: Uncharged tRNA acts as the effector for transcription antitermination of genes in the T-box leader family. T-boxes are found upstream of many aminoacyl-tRNA synthetase genes and some amino acid biosynthetic genes usually in Gram-positive bacteria. The anticodon of a specific tRNA base pairs to a specifier sequence within the T-box motif, and the NCCA acceptor tail of the tRNA base pairs to a conserved bulge in the T-box antiterminator hairpin.
Source: RNAcentral